UUAAGCGACUAAGCGUACACGGUGGAUGCCCUGGCAGUCAGAGGCGAUGAAGGGCGUGCUAAUCUGCGAUAAGCGCCGGUAAGGUGAUAUGAACCGUUAUAACCGGCGAUACCCGAAUGGGGAAACCCAGUGUGACUCGUCACACUAUCAUUAACUGAAUCCAUAGGUUAAUGAGGCGAACCGGGGGAACUGAAACAUCUAAGUACCCCGAGGAAAAGAAAUCAACCGAGAUUCCCCCAGUAGCGGCGAGCGAACGGGGAGGAGCCCAGAGCCUGAAUCAGCAUGUGUGUUAGUGGAAGCGUCUGGAAAGGCGCGCGAUACAGGGUGACAGCCCCGUACACAAAAGCGCAUGUGCUGUGAGCUCGAUGAGUAGGGCGGGACACGUGGUAUCCUGUCUGAAUAUGGGGGGGACCAUCCUCCAAGGCUAAAUACUCCUGACUGACCGAUAGUGAACCAGUACCGUGAGGGAAAGGCGAAAAGAACCCCGGCGAGGGGAGUGAAAAAGAACCUGAAACCGUGUACGUACAAGCAGUGGGAGCACAGGUUUACCUGUGUGACUGCGUACCUUUUGUAUAAUGGGUCAGCGACUUAUAUUCUGUAGCAAGGUUAACCGAAUAGGGGAGCCGGAGGGAAACCGAGUCUUAAUUGGGCGUUAAGUUGCAGGGUAUAGACCCGAAACCCGGUGAUCUAGCCAUGGGCAGGUUGAAGGUUGGGUAACACUAACUGGAGGACCGAACCGACUAAUGUUGAAAAAUUAGCGGAUGACCUGUGGCUGGGGGUGAAAGGCCAAUCAAACCGGGAGAUAGCUGGUUCUCCCCGAAAGCUAUUUAGGUAGCGCCUCGUGAAUUCAUCUCCGGGGGUAGAGCACUGUUUCGGCUAGGGGGCCAUCCCGGCUUACCAACCCGAUGCAAACUGCGAAUACCGGAGAAUGUUAUCACGGGAGACACACGGCGGGUGCUAACGUCCGUCGUGAAGAGGGAAACAACCCAGACCGCCAGCUAAGGUCCCAAAGUCAUGGUUAAGUGGGAAACGAUGUGGGAAGGCCCAGACAGCCAGGAUGUUGGCUUAGAAGCAGCCAUCAUUUAAAGAAAGCGUAAUAGCUCACUGGUCGAGUCGGCCUGCGCGGAAGAUGUAACGGGCUAAACCAUGCACCGAAGCUGCGGCAGCGAACGUAUCACUUAAAGCGAUUCAGCGGGUUACGAUUGACGGAGCGAAGCGACGUCAAAGCGUAUACAAAGUCGAGUCGGUUUAAGGAUACGUUCGUUGGGUAGGGGAGCGUUCUGUAAGCCUGUGAAGGUGGCCUGUGAGGGUUGCUGGAGGUAUCAGAAGUGCGAAUGCUGACAUAAGUAACGAUAAAGCGGGUGAAAAGCCCGCUCGCCGGAAGACCAAGGGUUCCUGUCCAACGUUAAUCGGGGCAGGGUGAGUCGACCCCUAAGGCGAGGCCGAAAGGCGUAGUCGAUGGGAAACGGGUUAAUAUUCCCGUACUUGGUGUUACUGCGAAGGGGGGACGGAGAAGGCUAUGUUGGCCGGGCGACGGUUGUCCCGGUUUAAGCGUGUAGGUGUGUGUUCCAGGUAAAUCCGGUUCACUUUAACACUGAGGCGUGAUGACGAGGCACUACGGUGCUGAAGCAACAAAUGCCCUGCUUCCAGGAAAAGCCUCUAAGCAUCAGGUAACAUCAAAUCGUACCCCAAACCGACACAGGUGGUCAGGUAGAGAAUACCAAGGCGCUUGAGAGAACUCGGGUGAAGGAACUAGGCAAAAUGGUGCCGUAACUUCGGGAGAAGGCACGCUGACACGUAGGUGAAGUGAUUUACUCAUGGAGCUGAAGUCAGUCGAAGAUACCAGCUGGCUGCAACUGUUUAUUAAAAACACAGCACUGUGCAAACACGAAAGUGGACGUAUACGGUGUGACGCCUGCCCCGGUGCCGGAAGGUUAAUUGAUGGGGUCAGCGCAAGCGAAGCUCCUGAUCGAAGCCCCGGUAAACGGCGGCCGUAACUAUAACGGUCCUAAGGUAGCGAAAUUCCUUGUCGGGUAAGUUCCGACCUGCACGAAUGGCGUAAUGAUGGCCAGGCUGUCUCCACCCGAGACUCAGUGAAAUUGAAUUCGCUGUGAAGAUGCAGUGUACCCGCGGCAAGACGGAAAGACCCCGUGAACCUUUACUAUAGCUUGACACUGAACAUUGAGCCUUGAUGUGUAGGAUAGGUGGGAGGCUUUGAAGUGUGGACGCCAGUCUGCAUGGAGCCGACCUUGAAAUACCACCCUUUAAUGUUUGAUGUUCUAACGUGGACCCGUGAUCCGGGUUGCGGACAGUGUCUGGUGGGUAGUUUGACUGGGCGGUCUCCUCCUAAAGAGUAACGGAGGAGCACGAAGGUUGGCUAAUCCUGGUCGGACAUCAGGAGGUUAGUGCAAUGGCAUAAGCCAGCUUGACUGCGAGCGUGACGGCGCGAGCAGGUGCGAAAGCAGGUCAUAGUGAUCCGGUGGUUCUGAAUGGAAGGGCCAUCGCUCAACGGAUAAAAGGUACUCCGGGGAUAACAGGCUGAUACCGCCCAAGAGUUCAUAUCGACGGCGGUGUUUGGCACCUCGAUGUCGGCUCAUCACAUCCUGGGGCUGAAGUAGGUCCCAAGGGUAUGGCUGUUCGCCAUUUAAAGUGGUACGCGAGCUGGGUUUAGAACGUCGUGAGACAGUUCGGUCCCUAUCUGCCGUGGGCGCUGGAGAACUGAGGGGGGCUGCUCCUAGUACGAGAGGACCGGAGUGGACGCAUCACUGGUGUUCGGGUUGUCAUGCCAAUGGCACUGCCCGGUAGCUAAAUGCGGAAGAGAUAAGUGCUGAAAGCAUCUAAGCACGAAACUUGCCCCGAGAUGAGUUCUCCCUGAGACUUUAGGUCUCCUGAAGGAACGUUGAAGACGACGACGUUGAUAGGCCGGGUGUGUAAGCGCAGCGAUGCGUUGAGCUAACCGGUACUAAUGAACCGUGAGGCUUAACCUU
This 2987-nucleotide ribosomal RNA is filed under the name Salmonella enterica subsp. enterica. RNAcentral describes it as "23S ribosomal RNA". It matches the Rfam family "Bacterial large subunit ribosomal RNA". Lineage: Bacteria; Pseudomonadati; Pseudomonadota; Gammaproteobacteria; Enterobacterales; Enterobacteriaceae. The record is from RNAcentral.